GGGACCAAGAUGGCGGACCUUGAUUCGCCUCCGAAGCUGUCAGGGGUGCAGCCGCCGUCUGAGGGGGUGGGAGGUGGCCGCUGCUCCGAAAUCUCCGCUGAGCUCAUUCGCUCCCUGACAGAGCUGCAGGAGCUGGAGGCUGUAUACGAACGGCUCUGCGGCGAGGAGAAAGUGGUGGAGAGAGAGCUGGAUGCUCUUUUGGAACAGCAAAACACCAUUGAAAGUAAGAUGGUCACUCUCCACCGAAUGGGUCCUAAUCUGCAGCUGAUUGAGGGAGAUGCAAAGCAGCUGGCUGGAAUGAUCACCUUUACCUGCAACCUGGCUGAGAAUGUGUCCAGCAAAGUUCGUCAGCUUGACCUGGCCAAGAACCGCCUCUAUCAGGCCAUUCAGAGAGCUGAUGACAUCUUGGACCUGAAGUUCUGCAUGGAUGGAGUUCAGACUGCUUUGAGGAAUGAAGAUUAUGAGCAGGCUGCAGCACAUAUUCAUCGCUACUUGUGCCUGGACAAGUCGGUCAUUGAGCUCAGCCGACAGGGCAAAGAGGGGAGCAUGAUUGAUGCCAACCUGAAAUUGCUGCAGGAAGCUGAGCAACGUCUCAAAGCCAUUGUGGCAGAGAAGUUUGCCAUUGCCACCAAGGAAGGUGAUCUGCCCCAGGUGGAGCGCUUCUUCAAGAUCUUCCCACUGCUGGGUUUGCAUGAGGAGGGAUUAAGAAAGUUCUCGGAGUACCUUUGCAAGCAGGUGGCCAGUAAAGCUGAGGAGAAUCUGCUCAUGGUGCUGGGGACAGACAUGAGUGAUCGGAGAGCUGCAGUCAUCUUUGCAGAUACACUUACUCUUCUGUUUGAAGGUGAGCCUCUUUCUCCACUCUAGAGAGACUGGAGACUGUAUAUG
This 885-nucleotide small RNA is filed under the name Pan troglodytes (chimpanzee). Its description in RNAcentral is "retained intron". The record is from RNAcentral. Lineage: Eukaryota; Metazoa; Chordata; Mammalia; Primates; Hominidae.